This 68-nucleotide transfer RNA is filed under the name Varicospira cancellata. Its description in RNAcentral is "tRNA-Ile". Lineage: Eukaryota; Metazoa; Mollusca; Gastropoda; Littorinimorpha; Rostellariidae. The record is from RNAcentral.
AGUACUACGCCGGAUGAACGGAAAUCAUUGAUGUUGAUUAUUAUGAGGGUUUAAUACCUCUAGUGCUA